Molecule: ribosomal RNA, 432 nt
Filed under: uncultured bacterium
Lineage: Bacteria
Description: bacterial SSU rRNA
Rfam family: Bacterial small subunit ribosomal RNA
Source: RNAcentral
CCUACGGGGGGCAGCAGUGGGGAAUUUUCCGCAAUGGGCGAAAGCCUGACGGAGCAAUACCGCGUGAGGGACGAAGGCUCUUGGGUCGUAAACCUCUUUUCUCAAGGAAGAUGAUGACGGUACUUGAGGAAUAAGCAUCGGCUAACUCUGUGCCAGCAGCCGCGGUAAUACAGAGGAUGCAAGCGUUAUCCGGAAUGAUUGGGCGUAAAGCGUCCGCAGGUGGUUUAAUAAGUCUGCUGUUAAAGCGUGUGGCUCAACCACAUACAGGCAGUGGAAACUAUUCGACUAGAGUAUGUUAGGGGUAGAGGGAAUUCCCAGUGUAGCGGUGAAAUGCGUAGAGAUUGGGAAGAACACCGGUGGCGAAAGCGCUCUGCUAGGACAAUACUGACACUGAGGGACGAAAGCUAGGGGAGCGAAUGGGAUUAGAUACCC